Molecule: long non-coding RNA, 1465 nt
Filed under: Monodelphis domestica (gray short-tailed opossum)
Lineage: Eukaryota; Metazoa; Chordata; Mammalia; Didelphimorphia; Didelphidae
Description: lncRNA (ENSMODG00000044595.1)
Source: RNAcentral
GCCAAAUUCAAGAACUCUCAGGCCAAAGGGAAAGUUCUAUAAGCAACCAGAAGGAAACAAUUUAAAAAUCAUGGAGUCACAGUCAGGAUUACAUAGGACUUAACAGCAUCUACAUUAAAGAAGAUGUGGAAUCUGAUUUCCUGAGAGACAAAGGGCCUAGGACAACAACCUAGAGUUACAUACCCAGAAAAACUGAACAUAAACCUUCAGGGGGAAAACUUAACAUUCAAUGAAAUGGAAGAAUUUCAGACUUUCUUUACCAAAAAGUCAGAACUGAAAAUUUGAUGAACAAAUUUGAUACUGAAGAGAACAGAAAAAAGACUCAGCUGAAGCACCACCUUCUUCAUGAAGCCUUUCAAGAUGCCCUCCAGCUACUGGUAGUCUCUUCAAAAAAAAUUACCAGCCUAGAGGAACAUGAUGAAAACUUAUCAUGUGACACUUAUGAGGUUAAAAGAGCUCCCUCGGCCACCAUCGAACUUCACAAACUGCCUGGCAUCCCAGAAUGGAACUAGGAGAUGAUGGGCAACAGAGGACUGCCUAAAGAAUUACAACCAUUCAGAAGUUGACCAGCAUGACUUAUCAGUCUAUAAAGGAUGACUUUUAUGGAGAAACUCCAUUGCUAUUUCAGAAUUCUCUCGUCCCCAUUACACGUCGAACAUGUGGAAAUUGUUCUCUGGAAAGUACAGGUCAGAAGCUAUAUCUAGAGUCUUUGAAUGGAUUCAGAUAUUGAAAAAUGGGAAAAAUAACAUAGCCCAUGCCAAGCUACUUGGCGUAACCUGCCAAAGGUGCCUACUUUUCUGGAGGGAGUAACCAAGGAAUACUGGGCAAGAAUCCAUAAGGAAAAAAAGAAAGAAACCUUUAUUAAGCACCUACUAUGUGUCAGGCACUGCGCUAAACACUGAGGAUUCAAAAGACGGUAAAAGGCAGAUGCUGUUUCAAGGAGCUCACAGUAUAAUGAAGGAGACAACAUGCAAAUAGCUACAUACAAACUAGUUAUAGACAGGAUAAAUUGGAGAAAAUCAACAGGGACGUGGUAUGGGCUAUUAGGCAUUAAUUAUUAUCAUGAUAAUCAUCAACACAAUAAUUAACCAUUGGUGUAAUUAAUGAUUAGUGAGCAUAAUGAUUAGUCCUUAACAUAAUCUAUGAAUAACUCUUACCAUUAAGGGAGAUUAGAUAAGGCUCUAUGCCUGUAAGCUAGAGAGAGAACUCAACUACUAGGUUCUAGUCAGUGUGAUCAUCCCCUCACCUCUUUAACUGCCUUAGCUGAACAAUGUUUCUGUAUUUGGGCAAUGGACUUUCCCAGUUUCGGAGUUACCAAUGAAAUCACAGGUUCGGUCCCAAUGUCCAUGUCAAUGAAAUGGAAUAUAUGAAUGCAGCAAGUGUGACUAUUCAGCAAAGUUGGUCCCAUUUACCCUCUGCUGUUCUCUUGGUCACCUAUGAGUCCCUGUGUGUUCAAUGAGCAUAU